UUGUGUGAAGAGUCACAGAAUGCAUUGGUC
Molecule: non-coding RNA, 30 nt
Filed under: Mus musculus (house mouse)
Lineage: Eukaryota; Metazoa; Chordata; Mammalia; Rodentia; Muridae
Source: RNAcentral